AUGCAAUCAAAGGAUAAAUUCUUGAUUCAGAGCACCAGGGUAGCUGCCAGCACCGACAUGGAUGAAAUCCCCCCUGAUGCUUUCAACAAGGAGGCUGAUAAGGUGAUUGAGGAAAUGAAGCUCAAGGUUGUCUACACAUUGCCCAGUGGAGGAUCACACGACUCUGGUGUCACAUGUUCAGCAAAUAGGAGCUUCAAGUAGGGCGACGACGAUCUCUUGGUGAGAUCUGCUAGCUCUAUCAUCUACGUAGGAAACAUAUGUUGGAUCUGCUAA
This 273-nucleotide ribosomal RNA is filed under the name Triticum aestivum (bread wheat). RNAcentral describes it as "partial small subunit ribosomal RNA". The record is from RNAcentral. Lineage: Eukaryota; Viridiplantae; Streptophyta; Magnoliopsida; Poales; Poaceae.